Molecule: long non-coding RNA, 176 nt
Organism: Bufo bufo (common toad)
Lineage: Eukaryota; Metazoa; Chordata; Amphibia; Anura; Bufonidae
Exons: 3
Source: RefSeq, a predicted model, not a curated record
CUACUAAGUACAUCAAUUCAGGGGCGUACAUGGGCCCUGGUGCAAGGGUUCAGCUUGGGCCCCCCUUCCCUCAGUGCUUUGUGGUCAGGGGCAGGGAAGCACAUAGCGUUCGUACUGCCUGAGGAAAAAAUUUAAACAGCAACCCCCCCCCCAUGCCAAUUUUUUUUACCUUAUCU